Molecule: ribosomal RNA, 253 nt
Filed under: uncultured bacterium
Lineage: Bacteria
Description: partial 16S ribosomal RNA
Rfam family: Bacterial small subunit ribosomal RNA
Source: RNAcentral
UACGGGGGGGGCAAGCGUUGUUCGGAAUUACUGGGCGUAAAGGGCUCGUAGGUGGCCAACUAAGUCAGACGUGAAAUCCCCAGGCUCAACUUGGGAACUGCGUCUGAUACUGGAUGGCUUGAAUCCGGGAGAGGGAUGCAGAAUUCCAGGUGUAGCGGUGAAAUGCGUAGAUAUCUGGAGGAACACCGGUGGCGAAGGCGGCAUCCUGGACCAACACUGACACUGAGGAGCGAAAGCCAGGGGAGCAAACGGG